RNAcentral lists this unclassified non-coding RNA (1138 nucleotides) under Hevea brasiliensis (rubber tree). Lineage: Eukaryota; Viridiplantae; Streptophyta; Magnoliopsida; Malpighiales; Euphorbiaceae. The record is from RNAcentral.
GGCAUCUCCCAGGAAUUCAGAGAAAAUAGCAUUAAUUGCUUGUAGAAUGGUUAAGUGACAAAAUUGGGCCUGUUGAUAAUCUCCAAGAGACGCAAACCACACUUGAAGAGAUCCAAUUGCUCUGGAAAUGAAUUCUUUCAAAACAACAUGUGAAUCAGCUCAUUCUCGAAGCAUCUGUAUGUCUAACCAUGCCUUAAACUCAGCAAGGCAAUCUCUCCAUUUAGAUGGAGGGAUAUCAUCUAAAGUGAACCACGGAGCAGAGCUAGGUUUGGUCUGUUGCUAAGUAUUUGGGAGAUCAAAAUUCAAUUCCACUGGUUCAUCAUCUGGAACUUCUACUUGGGGUCCCUGGGCAAGAGUAGGACUUGUAGUUGUACCACUAGUGGAAUCUGUAGUAGGAGCGGAUCAGCCAUGAGUAAAGCUAUAAUAUUUCCAGUGUCACUAUCAUUACUGGAAGAAUCAUCAUCGUCAUCAUCGGAGGAACUAUCAUCAGAUUCAUGUGGUACAGAAAUCAAGUCUUCUUCUGGUGUUUUGGAGAGAGUCAUCAGAGGAAGAUAAGCUGCUAGAUUCAAAUCUGGUAGGUGCAGGAGGAGGCACUGGUUUGUGAAACAGAGGUGAUGGGGUGUAUGGUAUGGGUGUUGGUUCAAAAGCAAAACUAAAUGGGGAGUAAACUGGGGCAGGAGUUACUAUGAAUGGAUUUUGUAUCUUUUGUGAAGAAAAUGAGCUAUAAGGAGCAGGUGUCUCAACUGGUCUAUGAAGAUCAGCUUCAACUUGGGCUAGCUGUUUCUUUAGCCUCUUUAUCUCUGCUUCUUUCUGGUUAAAUUCCAUACCAAACUUCCUCAGUUGAAUCAAGGAUCGAAGAUCUUUAUCCAAUUGGGUGAUUUUCACUUGUAAAUCUCUAUACAUAUUCUGGGCAAACAAGGAAAAUGAAUCCACCUUUUGAUUAAGAGUGUGAGUUCUAGUGAGGACUUGAUCAAUUUUAGAAUCAAUACGCUGCAGUGUCUUGUUUUGUACUGCUGCGUUCUUUGUCUGCCAGUUUAAGACUUCUCCUGCUUGGGUUAUUGGGACUAGUUGGCCAUCAGCAUCAAUUUUGGCUAUUUGCACAAAAGGUCUUGUAGAGAUCUUAGUCUGCUGAUCUGUU